Molecule: ribosomal RNA, 253 nt
Filed under: uncultured bacterium
Lineage: Bacteria
Description: partial 16S ribosomal RNA
Rfam family: Bacterial small subunit ribosomal RNA
Source: RNAcentral
UACGGAGGGUGCAAGCGUUAAUCGGAAUUACUGGGCGUAAAGGGUUCGUAGGUGGUCUAUUAAGUUAUUUGUAAAAUCCCUGGGCUUAACCUGGGCAGGUCAGAUAAUACUGGUAGACUCGAGUAUGGGAGAGGGUAGUGGAAUUUCCGGUGUAGCGGUGAAAUGCGUAGAGAUCGGAAGGAACACCAGUGGCGAAGGCGGCUACCUGGCCUAAUACUGACACUGAGGAACGAAAGCGUGGGGAGCGAACAGG